GUGUGUUUAUGACAGGCUGACUCUAAGCUCUUAUGACGGAUCAGCCUUGAUGCUCCAUAC
This is a regulatory RNA element of Astyanax mexicanus (Mexican tetra), 60 nucleotides long. It matches the Rfam family "Selenocysteine insertion sequence 1". Rfam says of the family: The incorporation of selenocysteine into a protein sequence is directed by an in-frame UGA codon (usually a stop codon) within the coding region of the mRNA. Selenoprotein mRNAs contain a conserved secondary structure in the 3' UTR that is required for the distinction of UGA stop from UGA selenocysteine. The selenocysteine insertion sequence (SECIS) is around 60 nt in length and adopts a hairpin structure which is sufficiently well-defined and conserved to act as a computational screen for selenoprotein genes. Lineage: Eukaryota; Metazoa; Chordata; Actinopteri; Characiformes; Acestrorhamphidae. The record is from Rfam.